CUGUACCAUAAGCCCAUUGCAGCUUCAUCUUACCUCGUGAAGCUUUCUUCCUGCUCACUACGCUACGAGAAACCCUAGACUUACUUCUUCGCAGCUUACGGCCACAGUUCCAUGGAUAUCGAGGAGGACAUUCGUGCACUAGAACUUGAUCCACCAGAUGUUAAUGGGGUUCCUAAUCCAGAUUCAAAGAUGGAGGAAGUUGUGAAAUCCGAUAAUCUGGAAGAAGAUGCAAAGACUGAAGAAAUUGUGAAGUCCGAUCAGAUGGAAGAAGAGGACCGUCCCCAACAAGCCCAAGCUAUCCACCUUGAAGGACAAGUGAAGGAGAACAUAUCUGCUAAGGAGAAGGAAGUUCCUCUGGCUGAUGAAAAUGAAGAUGAAGGGGAUUUGGAGUUGCCUCGCAAAAGACACUUGAAUGUCGUCUUCAUUGGUCAUGUUGAUGCUGGUAAGUCUACAAUUGGAGGCCAGAUACUUUUCCUCAGCAACCAGGUUGAUGAGCGUACAAUCCAAAAGUAUGAAAAAGAAGCAAAAGAUAAAAGCAGAGAAAGCUGGUACAUGGCGUAUAUAAUGGACACAAAUGAAGAGGAGAGAGUUAAGGGGAAAACUGUUGAAGUGGGAAGAGCGCAUUUUGAAACUGAGACCACAAGGUUUACGAUUUUGGAUGCUCCGGGUCACAAAAGUUAUGUCCCAAAUAUGAUCAGUGGGGCAUCUCAAGCUGAUAUAGGGGUUCUGGUAAUUUCUGCUAGGAAAGGAGAAUUUGAAACUGGGUAUGAGAGAGGUGGACAGACUCGUGAGCAUGUUUUGCUGGCAAAAACUUUGGGUGUUGCUAAGCUUCUUGUUGUAGUGAAUAAGAUGGAUGAACCCACAGUAAAAUGGUCGAAAGAAAGGUAUGAUGAGAUAGAGACUAAGAUGGCACCCUUCUUGAAGUCUUCUGGUUACAAUGUAAAGAAAGAUGUCCAGUUUUUACCUAUAUCUGGUCUUCAUGGUGUUAAUAUGAAAACAAGAGUGGAUAAGAAAGUAUGCCCAUGGUGGAAUGGUCCGUGCUUCUUUGAAAUCCUUGAUACAAUUGAAGGUCCACCUAGAAAUCCAAAAGAUCCAUUUAGGAUGCCUAUCAUUGACAAGUUCAAGGAUAUGGGAACAACUGUUAUGGGUAAAGUUGAAUCUGGCACUGUUCGUGAGGGUGAUUCCUUAUUAGUAAUGCCAAAUAAGAUUCAGGUGAAAGUUGCUGCUGUGAUUUGUGAUGAAAAUAAAGUUAGGAGUGCAGGACCUGGGGAAAAUCUUCGUGUUAGAAUAUCUGGAAUUGAAGAAGAAGAUAUAAUGUCUGGGUUUGUACUGUCCAGCAUUGCAAAACCAAUACCCUCUGUUUCAGAGUUUGUUGCACAGUUGCAGAUUCUUGAGCUGCUGGAUAAUGCAAUAUUUACAGCUGGAUAUAAGGCCGUACUUCACAUUCAUGCUGUUGUUGAAGAAUGUGAGAUCAUAGAGCUGCUACAGCAGAUUGAUCCGAAGACCAGGAAACCUAUGAAAAAGAAAGUUCUCUUUGUGAAGAAUGGUGCAGUUAUUUUGUGCCGCAUCCAGGUCAAUAACUUGAUCUGCAUCGAGAAGUUUUCUGAUGUUCCUCAGCUUGGGAGAUUUACACUUCGUACUGAAGGGAAGACAGUUGCCGUAGGAAAAAUCACUGAUAUUUCGGCUGCAAGCAAUUAAACAAUUUUGAUCUGCGAGGAUCUGAAAUCAGGGAUGACGAUUGGCACUGCCCGGCACGAUAGGGGACUCUACUUCCUUUCUGACGAGGCUUCCUCUAGGAAUGAUCACCAAUCGGGGGAAACUUAUGGUAAAUUUGAUACGAAGGCCUAGCAUGCUCGGACCUUUUUUUCAAUGGAGUCAAUGCCUGAUCGCAUUAUUGGCUAUGGUAAAAGAUCCUAAAAUUAUUGAUGGGUUCCAUCUGUUUGGAUACCAGCUUUUAUACACAAGUGUUUUUCUAUUUAUGAGUGUAAAGUUUGAUUUGCAUCAGUAUCGUUGAAUAUAAGUAGCAGUUUCUUAGUUAAUCCAAUCCAUAUGUCCCAACUAUUGUGUUCUUUAUCCCUGUAAUUUAAUGUUUUUUUUUGGUAUCCCCAUUGUUAUGAAGAUUUUGGUCUGUACUUCCUUCAUGGUGCUACCUGACAUGGUGAUGAAGCUUGAGUUUGUUAACUUGAUUAUUUCUUAACAUGCUACAUGCUUCACGGUGCUACAUGACAUGAUGAUGAAGCUUGAGUUUGUUAACUUGAUUA
Molecule: non-coding RNA, 2261 nt
Organism: Benincasa hispida (wax gourd)
Lineage: Eukaryota; Viridiplantae; Streptophyta; Magnoliopsida; Cucurbitales; Cucurbitaceae
Source: RefSeq, a predicted model, not a curated record